RNAcentral lists this unclassified non-coding RNA (327 nucleotides) under soil metagenome. Its description in RNAcentral is "partial contains 5.8S ribosomal RNA, internal transcribed spacer 2, and large subunit ribosomal RNA". The stretch from base 1 to 120 matches the Rfam family "5.8S ribosomal RNA", at positions 35 to 154 of the family's 154-position model. The record is from RNAcentral.
GAUGAAGAACGCAGCGAAAUGCGAUAAGUAAUGUGAAUUGCAGAAUUCAGUGAAUCAUCGAAUCUUUGAACGCACAUUGCGCCCCCUGGUAUUCCGGGGGGCAUGCCUGUCCGAGCGUCAUUACAACCCUCAAGCUCAGCUUGGUGUUGGGCCCCGCCGCCCCGGCGGGCCCUAAAGUCAGUGGCGGUGCCGUCCGGCUCCGAGCGUAGUAAUUCUUCUCGCUCUGGAGGUCCGGUCGUGUGCUCGCCAGCAACCCCCAAUUUUUUUCAGGUUGACCUCGGAUCAGGUAGGGAUACCCGCUGAACUUAAGCAUAUCAAAGCGGAGGA